Molecule: ribosomal RNA, 468 nt
Filed under: uncultured bacterium
Lineage: Bacteria
Description: partial 16S ribosomal RNA
Rfam family: Bacterial small subunit ribosomal RNA
Source: RNAcentral
GUGCCAGACUCCUACGGGAGGCAGCAGUGAGGAAUAUUGGUCAAUGGGCGGGAGCCUGAACCAGCCAAGUCGCGUGAGGGAUGACGGCCCUAUGGGUUGUAAACCUCUUUUGCCGGGGAGCAAAGUGCCGCACGUGUGGCGCCACUGAGAGUACCCGGAGAAAAAGCAUCGGCUAACUCCGUGCCAGCAGCCGCGGUAAUACGGAGGAUGCGAGCGUUAUCCGGAUUCACUGGGUGUAAAGGGAGCGUAGACGGCGGCGCAAGUCUGGAGUGAAAGCCCGGGGCCCAACCCCGGGACUGCUCUGGAAACUGCGGCGCUGGAGUACGGGAGGGGCAGGCGGAAUUCCUGGUGCAGCGGUGAAAUGCGUAGAUAUCAGGAGGAACACCGGCGGCGAAGGCGGCCUGCUGGACCGUGACUGACGUUGAGGCUCGAGAGCGUGGGGAGCAAACAGGAUUAGAUACCCGAGUA